RNAcentral lists this ribosomal RNA (299 nucleotides) under uncultured Anaerolineae bacterium. RNAcentral describes it as "partial 16S ribosomal RNA". It matches the Rfam family "Bacterial small subunit ribosomal RNA", at positions 9 to 310 of the family's 1533-position model. Lineage: Bacteria; Bacillati; Chloroflexota; Anaerolineae. The record is from RNAcentral.
GAGUUUGAUCAUGGCUCAGGAUGAACGCUGGCGGCGUGCUUAAUACAUGCAAGUCGAACGGGAAAUGCAGCAAUGUAUUUCUAGUGGCGAAUGGGUGCGUAACACGUGGGUGACGUGCCUCGAAGUGUGGAAUAACAGCUCGAAAGAGCUGCUAAUACCGCAUGUGGUCUUGGUGUUUAGAAAUCCAAGUCUAAAGUCGUAAGACGCUUCGAGAGCGGCCUGCGGUCCAUCAGCUAGUUGGUAGGGUAAUGGCCUACCAAGGCUACGACGGAUAGGGGACCUGAGAGGGUGGCCCCCCA